Molecule: unclassified non-coding RNA, 348 nt
Filed under: soil metagenome
Description: partial contains 5.8S ribosomal RNA, internal transcribed spacer 2, and large subunit ribosomal RNA
Rfam family: 5.8S ribosomal RNA (bases 1-120)
Source: RNAcentral
GAUGAAGAACGCAGCGAAAUGCGAUAAGUAAUGUGAAUUGCAGAAUUCAGUGAAUCAUCGAAUCUUGGAACGCACAUUGCGCCCGCCAGUAUUCUGGCGGGCAGGCCUGUCUGAGCGUCAUUUCAACCCUCAUGCCCCUAGGGCGUGGUGUUGGGGAUCGGCCAAAGCCCGCGAGGGACGGCCGGCCCCUAAAUCUAGUGGCGGACCCGUCGUGGCCUCCUCUGCGAAGUAGUGAUAUUCCGCAUCGGAGAGCGACGAGCCCCUGCCGUUAAACCCCCAACUUUCCAAGGUUGACCUCAGAUCAGGUAGGAAUACCCGCUGAACUUAAGCAUAUCAAUAAGCGGAGGA